Ailuropoda melanoleuca (giant panda) is the source of this 393-nucleotide long non-coding RNA. RefSeq lists it as uncharacterized. Lineage: Eukaryota; Metazoa; Chordata; Mammalia; Carnivora; Ursidae. The record is from RefSeq and is a predicted model, not a curated record. The transcript is spliced from 3 exons.
UACUGAAGGCCUCACUGGUGCCAAACAGGAUGUUCCUGCUAGGAAGUUCACUGACUAAAAAUGUUAUGUGCUGUCAUACCAAGCAACCAUGUGCCAAGAUUCUUGGGCUCAGAUUAACCACUGAAAGACAAUAUGGGAAAUGUGAAACAAGGUACAGAGAAGACCAGUCCUCCCCUGAAAGCCCAUCCCCUGUACGGCAGUGGCAUGGGAUGAAGCAAAUCUGAACACACAACAGACGAAGCGGGGAAGCUCGGCUAGGUUUGUGCUUGCAGAUCAAGUGUUGGGAAACCCUGGAUCAGCCAAGAAAUGCAGUACAUGUAGAUUCAAAUUCUUAAAGAAACUGAAACAUCUUUUCAUUUACAUAUACUGUUAAUUACAACAAAAAGUCUACUG